UACGAAGGGGGCUAGCGUUGCUCGGAAUUACUGGGCGUAAAGGGCGCGUAGGCGGAUACUUAAGUCGGGGGUGAAAGCCCGGGGCUCAACCCCGGAAUUGCCUUCGAUACUGGGUAUCUUGAGUUCGGGAGAGGUGAGUGGAAUGCCGAGUGUAGAGGUGAAAUUCGUAGAUAUUCGGCGGAACACCAGUGGCGAAGGCGACUCACUGGCCCGAUACUGACGCUGAUGCGCGAAAGCGUGGGGAGCAAACAGG
RNAcentral lists this ribosomal RNA (253 nucleotides) under uncultured bacterium. RNAcentral describes it as "partial 16S ribosomal RNA". It matches the Rfam family "Bacterial small subunit ribosomal RNA", at positions 524 to 776 of the family's 1533-position model. The record is from RNAcentral.